UUUUGCUUUGUUCUUGGAUAAUGUUUCUUAAAGGUUGUGACGACGCACAAUUUUGUAGUAUGUAAGUAGUUAUAAUUGGUAGUUAUAUAAGUACUUAGAAAGGGAGAAAUUAUGAAGUUUUUGUUAUAUAUAUGUUUAAGUUGGUACUAGAAAAGUAACUUGUUUUAUAUUUUUGUAUUUCCAUUAUCAGUUUCUAAGUUAUAUUAUAAGGGGAAAUUAUGAAGUAAUAUUUUAAGUUCGCGACCCACAGUAGCCAACAGCAGAGCAGAGCAAAGAUAACGGCGACGCGAGCCAACAGCAGCAGAUCAGAGCAAAGAGAACGGCGACGUGAGCCAGCAGCCCGGGAGCGGCCAGCAGCAGAGCAGAGCAGAGCCGAGAGCCGGCAGCAGAGCCAAAGAGAUCGACGACGUGAGCCAGCAGACGAGAGCGGCCAGCAGCAGAGCCGAGAGCCGGCAGCAGAGCCAAAGAGAACGACGACGUGAGCCAGCAGCCCGAGAGCGGCCAGAAGCACGAAAGCCACGGGCGUGGGCAGCGACGGCAGCAGCGGCAGCGCAGCCCGGACAAGAGUCCGCGUCUAAGGGCUCGCGAUCGCCAGGCAGAGCUCGCCUCGAGGAGAAAGAUUUGGGCAACCAAGCGGAGAAAUCGCGAUCACUGCGAAAAGUCCCCAAGUCAGUGGGCAGUCACACACGUGGGACGAGGAAACACAAGCACGAGGACAAGGCGCCAGACACAAGGAAGAAGCUCGAGAGGAUCGGGUAAGCGAGGCUGCGUGAUGUAUCCCCUUUUCCAUGGCUUAGAUUGGUGCGAAUAGGUAGGGACGUAGGAAAUGAAAUUUCGACGCUAAGAUAGGAAAAAAACAAGAACUAAGAAAAGAAUAAAGAAAACAAAACUAAACAAUGUGCUCGUGUGUAACAGUGUACAUUUAACCCUUUCCCCCCUCCCAAAGUGCAAGACGGUAAGUGUGGUCGCCCACCGUUGGAGGCUCCGCUGGGCUGGUCGCAGGUCAUUACCGCGCCAGACCGCGGGCUCCCAAACGGCGCGUGCCUGUCUCCGAAACGGGUGCUUCCUAGGUACUACCAGGGGCGGCUACACUGCCAGAAGGUGCCUCCACUAACUCCCGGUGAUCGCCCACCGUUGGAGGCUCCGCUGGGCUGGUCGCAGGUCACUACCGCGCCAGACCGCGGG
Molecule: long non-coding RNA, 1185 nt
Filed under: Drosophila guanche
Lineage: Eukaryota; Metazoa; Arthropoda; Insecta; Diptera; Drosophilidae
Source: RNAcentral